Molecule: ribosomal RNA, 914 nt
Filed under: uncultured bacterium
Lineage: Bacteria
Description: bacterial SSU rRNA
Rfam family: Bacterial small subunit ribosomal RNA
Source: RNAcentral
AGAGUUUGAUCCUGGCUCAGAACGAACGCUGGCGGCACGUUUUAAGCAUGCAAGUCGAACGGCAGUGGGGGCAACCCCAUGAGAGUGGCGAACGGGUGAGUAACACGUAGGUGAUCUGCCUUUGGGUUGGGGAUAGCUUGUGGAAACACAGGGUAAUACCGAAUGAGCUGACGGGGCUAUGGCCAAGUUAGUAAAGGUGCUACGGCACCGCCUAGAGAGGAGCCUGCGGCUGAUUAGCUAGUUGGUGGGGUAAAGGCCUACCAAGGCGACGAUCAGUAGCCGGCCUGAGAGGGUGUACGGCCACACUGGAACUGAGACACGGUCCAGACUCCUACGGGAGGCAGCAGCUAAGAAUCUUCCGCAAUGGGCGAAAGCCUGACGGAGCGAUGCCGCGUGAUCGAUGAAGGUCGAGAGAUUGUAAAGAUCUUUUCCAACUGAGGAAUAAGUGGACCAGGGAAUGGGUUCAUGAUGACGUUAAGUUGGGAAUAAGCCCCGGCUAAUUACGUGCCAGCAGCCGCGGUAACACGUAAGGGGCGAGCGUUGUUCGGAAUUAUUGGGCGUAAAGGGCACGCAGGCGGUUUUACAAGUCCGAUGUUAAAGACCUGGGCUUAACUCAGGGAAUGCGUUGGAAACUGUAAGACUAGAAUCUUGGAGGGGGAGUCGGAAUUCCUAGUGUAGGGGUGAAAUCUGUUGAUAUUAGGAAGAACACCGGUGGCGAAGGCGGACUCCUGGCCGAAGAUUGACGCUGAGGUGCGAAAGCAUAGGGAGCAAACAGGAUUAGAUACCCUGGUAGUCUAUGCUGUAAACGAUGUGCACUUGGUGUUGGGCCGAUUAGGUUCAGUGCCGUAGCUAACGCGAUAAGUGCACCGCCUGGGGAGUAUGCUCGCAAGGGUGAAACUCAAAUGAAUGGACGG